AUGGCGGUCAACACCGUACAUGUGGUUGGAGCCAAAAUUGCAUUUUUACCAACAUUGCUUUAUAAUCUCAUCCGUUCUCGUAUCGACAGAAAUUGGUAUGACCGGAUUGAUCAUACUAUAGUGCUAGGAGCUUUACCAUUCUUCAGCACAGCGAGAAAGCUUGCUGAAGAAGAAGGUGUUAAAGGAGUUAUAUCAUUGAAUCAAGAAUAUGAGCUGAAGUACCUUUCACCAACUGCAAUACAAUGGGAUGAUUUGGGUGUAAAGCAACUCAAAAUACCUACGCUAGACUUUGAUGCUGCACCUUCCAUCCAGGAAAUCCAAAAAGGAAUAGACUUUAUCAAUUAUUACAGGGAAAAGAAUCAAAGUGUUUAUAUUCAUUGUAAAGCUGGGAGAGGAAGGAGUGCAUUGCUGGUGACAUGCUACUUAAUUCAGGAACUCCAUGUGCAGUAUGCAGCACAGACAAGCCAAAUGAAAACGAGACCGACCUUGCAUCGAAAUUUAGUAAACAGGAUAUGGAAUCUGAUAGGGUAGAGAACUGCAAGCAGUCGUUGUAUGGCAAUAUACUCGACAUGAAUGAGUGAUGUGACAAUGGACAGGUCCAGGGCUGCCUCGUUUAUUGUCUCAAGACAAAUGGGAUGAGCCCGGACGAAGCGUUCAGUUUCAUCAAGUCAAAAAGAAAUCACGUAUUAGUCUGGGAAAACCAACGAAAGAGGAUACAGGAAUUUGCAGCUUUAAUGAAUGGAUGAACAUUUUUGAAAGCGCAUCGCAUUCUAUUGCUUUAAGCCUUCUCUUACCGGUCUGUUAGAAUUAGAAUUAGAACGAUGUGAAUCAUUUGUAGGAAAUUUGUUUUCAUUUCAGAA
This is an RNA transcript of Rhopilema esculentum, 860 nucleotides long. It is a transcript of the gene named phosphatidylglycerophosphatase and protein-tyrosine phosphatase 1, with no coding region annotated. NCBI's taxonomy places the organism in Eukaryota, Metazoa, Cnidaria, Scyphozoa, Rhizostomeae, Rhizostomatidae. The record is from RefSeq and is a predicted model, not a curated record.